This is a long non-coding RNA of Apis dorsata (giant honeybee), 993 nucleotides long. RefSeq lists it as uncharacterized. Lineage: Eukaryota; Metazoa; Arthropoda; Insecta; Hymenoptera; Apidae. The transcript is spliced from 2 exons. The record is from RefSeq and is a predicted model, not a curated record.
GACACAGGGUGAAACGAGGUGGGUGGCGGUUGGGAUAGAGAUGGGAGAGUCGAGAGUUAGGAUUUCGACGACACUACCAGCGACAUCUACAUUUCGCGACUGGCUGCAGGGACGCAAAAAGAAGAGGAACGCCUCCCCACCAUUCGGCCGCGCAUGCGCAAUUUGUGAAAUCUCGGCCCGCAUUCGAAAUAUAAUAUGAGGAAAUUUGCCACUUGCUGUAUAUAGAAUGAUUCCAAAUUGUUUGGAGAAUUAGCGUAAUACAUAGGUCAUAUAACAAAUAUUUCUGCUUUGGAGUAUAGGUAAGUAAUAAUAUCAAUUAAUAUUUUUAGAUUGAUUAAAAUUUUUAAUUUAUAUAUAUGAUAUAUAGUUUUUAUUAAAGGAUCUUUAAUAACGUUUAAUUUUUUUUAUCUUUUGUUAUAUAUUAUUUUAUAAUUCUUUUUACACUUAUUUAUCUUUUGAUGAGUUUAGUAAAUUCGAAAAUAAAUAUUCUUUUUGUUUAAUAAUACAAAGAAAAUUGUAGGAGUAUAUACGUACAAUAUAAAUGUACAUGUGAAUUGAACGUGACCUUAAAAACUUAUAAAAUGUCAUUACGUAAAGGUCAAGUGAUUAAAGUUAAAACUCUUAGUAUCCAUGGAAUAAAAAUCUUGCAACAAAACAUGUUAUAAUUAAUCGAUAUAUAAGGAAACGUAUAGCGAUUUCUAAAAAAAAAAUAUAAUCUUUAAAUAUUUAAAAUAUCUUCAUUUCUAAAAAAUACACUCCAUGAAAAAAGCAAAUAAACGUCUGCACGAAAAGCAUCGCCUCCAAUGCACCAUUUGAAACCAUUUUACUUCGUUCUCCUCAUACCAAAUGCACGAACAUGUAAAUUCUCUUUUUAAGUACGGACGUGGAAUUUUUUAUUUUUAAUUUCAGACUGCAAUCCGGAAGUUAAACUCUGAAGUAAAUACCGACCUCAAUCUUAUAUCUUACAUUUAAAAUAUAAAUUUUCAUAAGUAA